RNA transcript from Cuculus canorus (common cuckoo), 3689 nucleotides. It is a transcript of the gene named ankyrin repeat and sterile alpha motif domain containing 6, with no coding region annotated. The transcript has 18 exons. The record is from RefSeq and is a predicted model, not a curated record. NCBI's taxonomy places the organism in Eukaryota, Metazoa, Chordata, Aves, Cuculiformes, Cuculidae.
CCCGGCGCGGUGCGGGGUGACCGGGCUGCGCGGGACCCGGCGGCGCCGCCCAUGGGGGAGAGCGGGGUGGCCCCGCAGGUCCAGCUCUUCCUCCGCGCCUGCGAGCAGGGCGACUGCGACACCGCACGGCGCCUUUUGGGGCUGCCCGGGGGCGACCCGGCGGCUCCGUCCUCCUGCGGUCCCGAAGAGGCGGCGGAGCCCCGCGGUGGCGAAGGCUCCGCGCCGGCGGCGGCCGCCGUGGCCGUGGAUUGCACGGACGAGGCCGGCAACACGGGGCUGCAGUUCGCGGCGGCUGCGGGGCACGAGCAGCUGGUGCGGUUCCUGCUGCGCAAAGGGGCCUCGGUGCAGAGCAGCAACCACUACGGGUGGAGCCCGCUCAUGCAGGCGGCCAGGUUUGGACAUCUAAGUGUGGCUCACAUCUUGCUGGAGAAUGGUGCUGAUCUCAAUGCACAGAAUAAGUUAGGAGCCAGUGUCCUUACAAUGGCCUCCAGAGGUGGCCAUGUCAGCAUGGUGAAAUUGUUGCUGGAAUCUGGAGCUUUUGUAGACAAUUAUGACCAUUUUAGCACAAGUGUACUUAACAGCAGCAGAGAUGACCUUCCUGAUAUCACUCCACUAAUGGCAGCUGCUCAGCAUGGACAUGAGGCAGUGGUACAUCUGUUAUUAGACUGGGGAGCCGAUUGUAAUUACGCUGUGAAGACUAUGGGGUGGAGUCCUUUAAUGCUGGCAGCUGUUAGUGGAAAGGUGAGCUUGGCACAGCAGCUCAUGGAGAAAGGUGCCAAUCCUGAUCACCUGAAUGUACUACAUAAAACACCCUUUGAAAUCUCCGUUGGCUUCAAGCACAAAGACAUGAAGGACUACCUGGAGUCUCUCACAACAAUCAGACCUCAGGCAGAUACAGAAAAGAGCCAACCUGAUGUCUUUCACGCUUUGAAAUUGGGAAACUUUCAGCUAGUUAAAGAGAUUGUUGAUGGGGAUCCAAGUCAGGUUAAUAUUACCAAUGUUGACGGCGCAUCUCCAUUAAUGAUUGCGGCUGUAACUGGGCAGCUGCCCCUUGUUCAGCUCCUUGUUGAGAAAAAUGCUGAUAUUGACAAACAAGAUAAUAUUCAUGGCUGGACAGCACUAAUGCAGGCCACAUACCAUGGAAACAAAGAUGUUGUUAAGUAUUUGUUAAAUCAAGGAGCUGAUGUCAAUCUUCGUGCAAAAAACGGAUACACAGCUUUUGACCUGAUAAUGCUGCUGAAUGAUCCAGACACAGAGCUUGUACGGUUACUGGCAUCAGCAUGCAUGCAAGUAGACAAAGACAAGAAUAAACUGAACAACAGAUCAUCUUUGCCUUGUUCCAAAAGUAGGCAAUCUUUAAAUGUCCCAAUGUUGCCAGAUCAAAAAGGUGGUCUAAAGUCCUGGUGGAGCAGGAUGUCCAAUCGAUUCCGCAAGCUGAAGUUGACUCAGACAUUGCGCCAUGGAUUUCCUUCCAAUCAGUUUGUACCUUUUCCUGAUGAACCUGAACCAUCAUUAAAUUCCACCAUAAAGGCAGUUUCACAGAAUGAUAUGGACACCUCUGGAAACCUUGAUGCUGCUACAGCUUGGAUCACAAAUAACAAAGCUAGUGGUGUAAACACUGCAAAAGGAGGAAAGGACGAUGAGUUAUUGACAACCAUGUUGAGAAGUAGUGCUCCAUUUACCAGGCUGCCCAGUGAUAAACUGAAAGCAGUAAUACCGCCUUUCUUACCACCCUCAAGUUUUGAGCUUUGGAAUUCUGACCGAACACGAAUCAGCAAAGAUGGCAAAGCUGAACAGAUGAGAACUGCGUGGCCACAGAGAGCGAUCAAGCAUGAUUUUAACAGCAGUGGGAACUCUGAUAUAACAUCUGUUAGCAAAGGUACUAGACCAGUCAAAUUACCCGCAUUUGCAAGAAGACCUGCAUCUCCUUCAAAUUCCAACAACUUCAAUCAUUCUCCCCAUUCUUCUGGUGGAUCCAAUAACAUUGCGGGAAUCAACAGGCAUGGAGGAGAACUGCAUAACAGAUCAGGUGGCAGUGCAGAUAAUGUUUUGUCUCAGAUUGCGGCCCAAAGAAGAAAAGCAGCAGGCUUACCUGAACAGAAACCCGGCCAACAGCAUAGCCCAGUCCAAUCAACUCCUUCAUCCACCCUGUCUGAUUUGCCCUCUGCUCAAAUUGUUGGAAAUGGACACGUUGGAAAGCAAAAACUGGAGAUGAACAAAAGACCUCCAUCUGGGACUUCAUCUACGUCUAAAAGCACGUCACCAACUCUCACACCUUCCCCAUCACCUUCCCCAUCUCCUAAGGUUCACAACACAGAGUCCUCUCUCUCUUCUUCUCAAAGGCAGGCCAAGAGCAAUGGCUCCAGCAGUGGUACUAUUACAGAAGAUGGCAACCACUUGGUGGACCAUCAACAGCUUGUCCCUAUUCUGAGAACCAGUGAUGUAGACAAUCAAGAAAGACGAAACCAUGUGAGAGUAAAAGGAAGCUCUGAAAACUUGGAGAAAGAUGAGCUGACUGGCAUCCUUAAAAAAUUGUCCCUUGAGAAAUACCAGCCUAUCUUUGAAGAACAAGAGGUGGAUAUGGAAGCUUUCCUUACACUUACUGAUGGUGAUCUGAAAGAGCUGGGUAUUAAAACUGAUGGAUCAAGGCAGCAAAUUUUGGCAGCUAUUUCUGAACUGAAUGCAGGAAAGGGACGAGAGAGACAGAUUUUACAGGAAACUAUACACAACUUCCACUCUUCCUUUGAGAGCAGUGUUAGCAACACACGAGCUCCGGGUCAUUCCCAGUCUCCAUGAAAUAGAUUUGGUGUGAAUCAACAACAGAAACACUAACAGGGAAGGAAGAGGAAGAGAACAUGUAGAUAAAGGAAGUUUCCACACAAGCACCUGUUGGCUCUGUAAAACCACAAGAAGCUGCUUCUCCGAAGAGGUAGCUUCCGGGGAAAAAAAAAAAAGAGAUUCUUUUUUCUUAUUGUGAAGUUUAGCAUCUGGCUGAGAAAAUCCAAGUGUACAAAUGAAAAUUUGAAAAGUUAGUCCUAACUACACCUUUACAGGACUUUCUACAGUGAUGUGCGCAAUUAGAAUCUCACAAAGAAGAAAGAAGAAGAGAUCACUUUUUUUUUUUUUCAAAGAAGAAAAUAAAGAGAUCACUUGUACAGCUCAACGUAAGUGUUGAAUUGUUCGUGGUGUCAGUGGUCUGGAUUUCAGAACAAAGUCAGAAGAGCAGGAAGAAUAAAGGAUCAUAUAAGGAGAUUCAUGUUUCCAUUUCAUGCUCUUGCCUAUAUAUGAAGAACCCCAUAGGAGGCCUCUUGGGUACAGUCAAGAACAACAAAGCAUGGAAGAAGGCAUAACCACCAUGAAUUAUGAGAGCUUCUACAUGGGGAAAUAUAUAAACAGUAUGUUCCUCUCUUGGCUGGGUGCAGAUAAAGGAGUUGAGAUUGAAAAUGUAAUGGUCUCAUGAGCAGGAAUACAAAGGAAAAUGAUGCUGCAUUCUUCAGUAACCAAAAUACACUUUUAUCUGUUCAAUAUCAAGAGGCUAGAACAGCAAUAAAGGUAAAUAUGAAAUACUCAUAUGUAAAAGCACUUUAUUUAAGGAAAUGCAUAGUCUGUCACCAAUAUUUAUACAGAAAUAGUGUUAAAAUAUUUUAUAUUGCUGAUUGAUUGUUUUGAGAAUAAAACCAUUUAACUGA